CCCUUAGAUGUUCUGGGCCGCACGCGCGCUACACUGAUGCAUUCAACGAGCCUAUCCUUGACCGACAGGUCCGGGUAAUCUUUGAAUCUGCAUCGUGACGGGGAUAGAUUAUUGCAAUUAUUAAUCUUCAACGAGGAAUGCCUAGUAGGCGCAAGUCAUCAGCUUGCGUCGAUUACGUCCCUGCCCUUUGUACACACCGCCCGUCGCACCUACCGAUUGAAUGGUCCGGUGAAGCCUCGGGAUUGUGGCCAGUUCACUUUAUUGGGAGUUGGCUGUGAGAACUUGUCUAAACCUUAUCAUUUAGAGGAAGGUGAAGUCGUAACA
This 324-nucleotide ribosomal RNA is filed under the name uncultured eukaryote. RNAcentral's name for it is "partial 18S ribosomal RNA". It matches the Rfam family "Eukaryotic small subunit ribosomal RNA", at positions 1470 to 1796 of the family's 1831-position model. The record is from RNAcentral.